Molecule: long non-coding RNA, 1132 nt
Organism: Anarrhichthys ocellatus (wolf-eel)
Lineage: Eukaryota; Metazoa; Chordata; Actinopteri; Perciformes; Anarhichadidae
Exons: 3
Source: RefSeq, a predicted model, not a curated record
AGGGGCCCCUUUCCUUCCACAGAUUUUGGGAUGUAAUAAAAGAGGCUGGUCCCUAAGUCCCCAAAAGAGUGAAAUUGUUAUUUGUUUAAAAAUGAGAGUGUGGAGGAUGAAGACUUUGACAUGAUCCACGAGGAUUAUCCCACUUCCCAAAAGAUCAAUACUUCACUGAUGUCUGCAGGAGUGCAAUGGCAACCAGGGCUCCCCGGGGAGCACAACCACAGCUCUGCGCUCAGCGCUGGGUUCCCUGAUGACCUGUCCUUCUAGAGACCUGGCCCACAUCGAUCUCAGAGCUAACCACCAGGCCGGUUAGCACUGGAGCUCUCGAGGGCCUACUAUCGGCACAUCUGACUAUGAAUGCCACAGUCAAGCUGAGGCCCGUCUCUCAUUCAGUAUGACCACAGAGAGUCCCAGAUGGGUUCUUAACCAGUUUGUUGAUACAAUAUAAACAGUGUAAUCGCGCUAAGAACUAUUACUGUAUUUAAUCAUCUUUACAAUGCCGUAACACAUAUACACAAAGGAAUACACACAUGAUUAAAUACAUAACUGAGACAUUCUCAUUUUCUGACUAAAACACAAUGUCAAAUGUCUCAAAUGACUUCACCAAACAUCAAUAGCUUGAGUCAAACGAAGUUAGACGACACAACAUAACAUCCCUCAUAACUCACUGACAUCACUCACUAAACUGUAGUGCUCAACAUUUAUUCAUAUUGACAAAAGGAAAUUGGAUUCAAUAAAUCAUCCAUCCCUGUGCUUAUACAUGUCAAGAAGACGUUACGUAUUUCAGCUUAGGGAAAUGUCAAGCAAUCACACCAAUACUUUGUUAAGGUGUAGGUUGUGUGUAUCCUGUACGAGGACAGUGUUUUCAGAAUUGUCAUUUAACCCCAUGGAAAACCUCGACUUGUGCUUAAAUUACUUUUAAAAAUGGUUAUGUUCCUAACUACAUGAAAACUGGCAGUCGAUUUCUGGACUUUGUGCAGAUUACAAUAUAUUGCUCCCCUAUUCCUCCAAUACCUCUAUUAGUCAUGCUAUCAUUCCUUGCCCAAGCUAACAGGAGUGUGUGACACACUGUCACACAGUACAGUUGCAGGGGCUGUGUGUAAGUGAUGCAAUUGAACUGGAGCCUUUGGUCUCA